Long non-coding RNA from Alexandromys fortis (reed vole), 751 nucleotides. RefSeq lists it as uncharacterized. The transcript is spliced from 4 exons. The record is from RefSeq and is a predicted model, not a curated record. NCBI's taxonomy places the organism in Eukaryota, Metazoa, Chordata, Mammalia, Rodentia, Cricetidae.
GCUAAGGACGGGGUUUUGUCAUGCAGUUCCUGUAAUGUGGCUAUUGUUCAGUUUAGAAGCAACCAGUAAGCAUCACUGGCUCAGGAUGCUCCCUCCAUUGAAAAGGGGGCCUAAUUCAAAGCCUAUAAAAGACAUUUGUGACUUUCAACCCAACUGGUAAUGCAGAGUGAAGAAAACAGAUUGAAACCACACAGCUUUUGGGUCCUAUUCCAAAACAUGACCCUGUGUGGUUUCCUUCAUGUAGUUCUGAAGAUUUCUCCAAAGUCCACAAUAGUCUUUUAUCUCUUCAAACACUAGAGGGCAAGAAGUUACUCUGUGUUGUCAAGAAAAGGAAGAAGCAGUCUCAAAUGAUUUAUUCUGAUCACGCUUCAUUUCCCUGCCACCUAUUUGAAAGAGUAAUCUCACUGGCAGCAAAUGCAUCAGACAAUAUAAGACUGCAUCAACACAAACUCUAUCUCUGAAGACUGCACGCAUUUAAAUCGCUGUCAUUUCUUUCGGUUUUAAUAUGUGUGGAUGUGAAAAGUUUACGCAGAAGGUAUUACAAGGAAGAGUCAGUGAAAUGGCUCAGCGAGGUCAAGCAACCAUCAUGAAGACCUGAACACCUGUGUUCAACCACCAGAACCUGAAGAGAAAAGGGGGAAAGAGAGAAUGGAGUCCAUUGCAGCCUCCGUGGGCCUUCAUGUGCCUGCUGUGAAUUCUUCCAUCCUCUAAUUUCCACAUAUAAUAUGGGCACAUGCAAAUCAUAAUAAAA